AUAGUGGCGACGGGUGAGUAACACGUGGGCAAUCUGCCCUUCACUCUGGGACAAGCCCUGGAAACGGGGUCUAAUACCGGAUAACACUCCUCCCUGCAUGGGGAGGGGUUAAAAGCUCCGGCGGUGAAGGAUGAGCCCGCGGCCUAUCAGCUUGUUGGUGGGGUAAUGGCCUACCAAGGCGACGACGGGUAGCCGGCCUGAGAGGGCGACCGGCCACACUGGGACUGAGACACGGCCCAGACUCCUACGGGAGGCAGCAGUGGGGAAUAUUGCACAAUGGGCGAAAGCCUGAUGCAGCGACGCCGCGUGAGGGAUGACGGCCUUCGGGUUGUAAACCUCUUUCAGCAGGGAAGAAGCGCAAGUGACGGUACCUGCAGAAGAAGCGCCGGCUAACUACGUGCCAGCAGCCGCGGUAAUACGUAGGGCGCAAGCGUUGUCCGGAAUUAUUGGGCGUAAAGAGCUCGUAGGCGGCUUGUCACGUCGGAUGUGAAAGCCCGGGGCUUAACCCCGGGUCUGCAUUCGAUACGGGCAGGCUAGAGUGUGGUAGGGGAGAUCGGAAUUCCUGGUGUAGCGGUGAAAUGCGCAGAUAUCAGGAGGAACACCGGUGGCGAAGGCGGAUCUCUGGGCCAUUACUGACGCUGAGGAGCGAAAGCGUGGGGAGCGAACAGGAUUAGAUACCCUGGUAGUCCACGCCGUAAACGUUGGGAACUAGGUGUUGGCGACAUUCCACGUCGUCGGUGCCGCAGCUAACGCAUUAAGUUCCCCGCCUGGGGAGUACGGCCGCAAGGCUAAACUCAAAGGAAUUGACGGGGGCCCGCACAGCAGCGGAGCAUGUGGCUUAU
Molecule: ribosomal RNA, 842 nt
Filed under: Streptomyces sp.
Lineage: Bacteria; Bacillati; Actinomycetota; Actinomycetes; Kitasatosporales; Streptomycetaceae
Description: bacterial SSU rRNA
Rfam family: Bacterial small subunit ribosomal RNA
Source: RNAcentral